Molecule: microRNA precursor, 135 nt
Organism: Equus caballus (horse)
Lineage: Eukaryota; Metazoa; Chordata; Mammalia; Perissodactyla; Equidae
Source: Ensembl
CCCCCACCCCACCCCUCCAAGGAUCUGAUCUCUUCUCUCAGGAAGGAUGAUGUUCUCCAGUGAGCCCAGGGGAGAUCCUGGACAUCAGGCCUGGCCGAGGGAGCACCGAGUUCCAGUCUUUCCCAAGGUGGGAAG